Molecule: ribosomal RNA, 387 nt
Filed under: uncultured bacterium
Lineage: Bacteria
Description: bacterial SSU rRNA
Rfam family: Bacterial small subunit ribosomal RNA
Source: RNAcentral
GACGAACGCUGGCGGCGUGCUUAACACAUGCAAGUCGAGCGGUAAGGCCCUUUCGGGGGUACACGAGCGGCGAACGGGUGAGUAACACGUGGGUGACCUGCCUUUAGCUCUGGGAUAAGCCUGGGAAACCGGGUCUAAUACCGGAUAUGACUCCGCGGCGCAUGUUGUGGGGUGGAAAGCCUUGUGCGGCUGGAGAUGGGCCCGCGGCCUAUCAGCUUGUUGGUGGGGUGAUGGCCUACCAAGGCGACGACGGGUAGCCGGCCUGAGAGGGCGACCGGCCACACUGGGACUGAGACACGGCCCAGACUCCUACGGGAGGCAGCAGUGGGGAAUCUUGCGCAAUGGCGAAAGCCUGACGCAGCGACGCCGCGUGAGGGAUGACGGCCU